CAUGCAAGUCGAGCGGAUGACGGGAGCUUGCUCCUUGAUUCAGCGGCGGACGGGUGAGUAAUACCUAGGAAUCUGCCUGGUAGUGGGGGACAACGUUUCGAAAGGAACGCUAAUACCGCAUACGUCCUACGGGAGAAAGCAGGGGACCUUCGGGCCUUGCGCUAUCAGAUGAGCCUAGGUCGGAUUAGCUAGUUGGUGAGGUAAUGGCUCACCAAGGCUACGAUCCGUAACUGGUCUGAGAGGAUGAUCAGUCACACUGGAACUGAGACACGGUCCAGACUCCUACGGGAGGCAGCAGUGGGGAAUAUUGGACAAUGGGCGAAAGCCUGAUC
This 332-nucleotide ribosomal RNA is filed under the name Pseudomonas sp. LT35. Its description in RNAcentral is "bacterial SSU rRNA". It matches the Rfam family "Bacterial small subunit ribosomal RNA", at positions 54 to 388 of the family's 1533-position model. The record is from RNAcentral. Lineage: Bacteria; Pseudomonadati; Pseudomonadota; Gammaproteobacteria; Pseudomonadales; Pseudomonadaceae.